CCAUAUCAUUCUCUCAUUCAUCAUCUUCACCUUCUCCUUCAAUCUUUCUCUCUUUCUCUCUCUAACCCCCUUGAAGAUAGGCGAGUCUCUUGGGGGAAAAAGAGAGAGAGAGAGAGGGGUGAGGAAUAGAAGAAACAAAACACAGAACUAGACAGACUCUAGCUUUGCUUGUAAAAACUACAAGGCGAGUCCAUGGAUGUGGAGCUUUUGCUUUUUUGAGGGGAAUGUUGUCUGGCUCGAGGACCCUUUUCCUUGAAAGAUCUGUAAUCCUAUAGAUCAAUCUUUAUAUCUGUAUAUAUUGAUCAUGACUUUUUGGUGGAGUUAGUGUCGUCGGACCAGGCUUCAUUCCCCCCAAUUUUACAGCUUCCACAGUCCACAGAGCUUAGCUUUUUCCUCCAUGGCAUAGACUUCUCCAGAUUGGUGUAAUGAUGGACUCAUUUGACUAUAAAAAGGAUUUCAUCAUUUGCCGACUUUUUCAUUCGUGCUCAUGAUGAUGAUCAAAUUAUGAUGAGGAUGAUGCGGUUUUUGUCAGUCUUAAGCCAAAUUUCCACUAUCUGAUCUGUCUGUUCUGCAAUUGUUUUCUUUUUUUUUGCUUUUUUCUUUUUUCUUUUCAUCAGAUCUGAUCUGGUCUGCCAUGGCCUCCUCCUUUAACUUUGGUAAAUGUUCUUUCCUCUCUUUCACGUUCUGCUAGCUAGCUACCUCUCUCUCUUAGGGUUUCGUAGUCUAGAUUGAGGCUCUGUUAAUAUCUAAAAUAAAUGUGCUGAAUAAUUGUAUCACUAAUAAGCCUUUGCUUAGAUGAGCAAGCAAGGAAGUGGCAGCCUUUCUGACACUGUUUGAAAUGCUAUUUUUCAUUGUUUAAUUGUAUAUACAUAUAGCUACUGCAUCAUCCUUAAUCUCGUAUCUGAUUCUGAAUGAUAAUAUAUAUAUGCGAAGUAUAUCAUAAAGAAUAUAUAGUACUAUUCUACUCAACUAGUUUGCAGAUGUCACUACAUUUAUACGUUCGGCUUUAGCUAGCUUGUUCAGUAAUGCCUUACACAUCUCUUUAUGCCUUGAAGUACUUGCAUUUCUUUCAAAAUGUGAUUCAAGCAAAAGACAAAUGUAACUUUGGGGAAAUGAGUGUGUGUGAAAACCUAGAUGCUUAUCUUUUCAUUAUUGUCUUAUCAAUAGGGUGUUAAUUCAAAACCCUGGUCUUGUUCAUCUUGGGUACUAAAUGCAUUUCUCCUCUUUUGCUCUCCUGGAUCUAUGUCCAUUUGAAUUAUUGUUUGUGUUUGUGUUAGCUUAAAAAGCUUAUAACCAUAACCGAAAACCAAAGUUGAGCUAGUCAACAAAUGGAGCAUUGUGCAGGAAAACCAAGAUGGAUGCUUCAACAAGUUAGGGUCACUUGAUGGUUUAGUUGUUUCUUAAUCAUUCUACUAUGUCAUUUGUAUCCGAGCUUUGCUUCUGCAUUAGGGAUACAGGACAACUUCUCAAAUGAAUACAGAGGUCUUGAAAACAAGGUUGAUAAUAUAUAAUAAGGUCUGGAAAAAGGGGUUGUUUUUCCUUCCGGUUUAAAACACUGUAACUUACUAGCUUACUCUAACAAUCUUACAGAGACACAUUAAUAUUCAGAUGCUUGGGAAUGAUGAUUGAUCAAACAAGUGGUCUCCUAAAGUCACUAUUUCAAGAUUUUUUUACUUUUCCUAUUACAUUACCAGUUUUUGGAAAAGGUCCAUCUAUGUAAAAGCAGCAAGUUUGGACUUGAGGAAGCAAUCUCAAAUGCUAGCAACUAUUCCCUUGUCCUUCUUGUACUAGUAAUGAGUGCAUUUUGAGUUUUAUGAAAUCCACUUUCUUGUUUGAAUUACAUAAAUGUAGGUGUUUAUGCUUUUCUUUCACUAUCUUUUUUUUUUUUUUUUACUCUUCUUGAUGGUCGUUGUAAAUUUAUUUCCAGUAUGAGAUUACUGUAUUACAGAUUGCUGUAAAGACUAAAAGCUCCUUUUGGGAAAUUGGAUCUUUUUGACCUCUGGAACUUAUAAAGCAGAAAAAGCUUUAUUGCUUUCUUUUUGCCCAUGAUUUUCCUCACAGAGUGACAAAGGGAGGAGACAGAGGUCGAUUAAUUGGGUGAGAGCUUUAGCUUUAUGCAUGGCCACAACUUUCAAUGAGUGUAUAAUUGUGGUGUGAUUGUUCCACUUGACCAAGACUGGAUCACUGGAGAGUGAAGACUCCCUGAUUAAUUAACUAAAGCCUAGCUUUUGAAUCAGGGUUUGGGAUAAUUGUUCCUAUUAAUUAGAUGAGAUAGAUGCAUUGGAAUUUUGGGCUAUUGGUCCUAGGGCAUGGGAAGCUGUAAAUAGCUCUCCAUACUCAUUGGUAGGCUAACAAAACUGUGUAAUCAUCUAUAGCUAUAGCUAUAGCUAGCUAGGCCCUUGGCUCCUAGCUAAGCUAGUACAUUGAGGAUCCAAGGCAACUUAAUUUGGUUGGUUCUGAUGGAGUUGUGCUUGUAGCUGAGAUUUGACUUAAAAUUUUGAAUGGCAAUGUGAUCAGCUUCAUUGUUAAUUUAAUAUUCAAAUUGUGAAUCA
This is a long non-coding RNA of Rosa rugosa (rugosa rose), 2552 nucleotides long. RefSeq lists it as uncharacterized. NCBI's taxonomy places the organism in Eukaryota, Viridiplantae, Streptophyta, Magnoliopsida, Rosales, Rosaceae. The record is from RefSeq and is a predicted model, not a curated record. The transcript is spliced from 2 exons.